RNAcentral lists this long non-coding RNA (58 nucleotides) under Pongo abelii (Sumatran orangutan). RNAcentral describes it as "lincRNA". The record is from RNAcentral. Lineage: Eukaryota; Metazoa; Chordata; Mammalia; Primates; Hominidae.
AUUCCUCCCGUGUCAUUAUUCCCCCCGUGUCGCUGUUCCUCCCUUGUCGCUGUAUCUC